RNAcentral lists this non-coding RNA (23 nucleotides) under Cricetulus griseus (Chinese hamster). The record is from RNAcentral. Lineage: Eukaryota; Metazoa; Chordata; Mammalia; Rodentia; Cricetidae.
GACCACUGGAAGAGCAAUUGACA